Long non-coding RNA from Mytilus californianus (California mussel), 230 nucleotides. RefSeq lists it as uncharacterized. The record is from RefSeq and is a predicted model, not a curated record. NCBI's taxonomy places the organism in Eukaryota, Metazoa, Mollusca, Bivalvia, Mytilida, Mytilidae. The transcript is spliced from 3 exons.
UCUGAAUUUCACUAGCUCUUCAUAUAGGCUCUAUCACACAGACAGUUCUCAGAUAGGUCUUACCAUUGUCAGCUUGUUAAGCUCUGCCAGGCCAACCAAACAUGAAUGAUCAGACAGACAGUUCUCAGAUAGGUCUUACCAUUGUCAGCUUGUUAAGCUCUGCCAGGCCAACCAAACAUGAAUGAUCACACAGACAGUUCUCAGAUAGGUCUUACCAUUGUCAGCUUGUU